UUUUGAACUCCUUCCUUCAAAACAGUCAAGGAGCCUGUGGUGGGCAAGUCUCCUUUGGAUAGUUUGACCUGCUGAUAGUUCAGGACAGCAGCAGCCACAUCAUACUGUUAGUGUUCCACAACAAACACAGUGAAAUUCUGUCUUAAAAAGGGAAAUGCAGCCCGGUGGUGGUGGCGCACGCUUUUAAUCCCAGCACUUAGGAGGCAGAGGCAGGUGGAUUUCUGAGUUAGAGGCCAGCCUGGUCUACAGAGUGAGUUUUAGGACAGCCAGGGCUACACACAGAAACCCUGUCUCGAAAAAGCAAAAAAAAAAAAAAAAAAAAAAAGGGAAAUGCAAACACUGGCGCCACAGUCCUGGGCCAGCGUUUUUGCAGCAACUUCACAAUCUAAAGUGCUAAACAGGCCUGGCUGGGCUUGAGGAAGGGACAGUUUUGUUUGGCUUUGGUAGUGCCGAGGAACCAGCCAAGGACUUCAUGCUUACUGGCCUUGGGGCAUUCAUCUAUGAGAUUUUUAUUUUACAUGAUUGGAGGUUUCCCCUGUGUGCUUGUACCCAUAGAGGCCAGAAGAAGGCAUUGGAUUCCCUUGUAGUUAGAAUUACAGAGAAUUGUUAGCUACCAUGUGGGUGCUGGGAAUUGAACCUAGGUCCUCUGGAAAGGCAGUCAGUGCUCCUAACCCCUGAGCCAUCUUCUCCAGCCCCAGAAGGUUUUUCAAAAAUAGUUUUUAGUUGGGUAUAUGUGAGGGGGUCUGAGCGCCCUUGCCUUGGGAGACGCUGGAAUUGUGGGUGGCUGUGAGCCACCUAACGUGGGUGUUGGGACUCAAUCUGGGGGUCCUCGUUGCAAGAGCUGCAGCAUAUGUUCUUAACUAAGUCAUCUCCAGCCUCUAUCUGUUUUUUGGGAAACGUGGUCUCCUUUAAUCAUUGACGAAACUCAAAGCUUGCAUCAGUCUUGCUGGAGCAUCCCAAGUCCUACAAUUAUGGGUUUGAGCCACCAUGGGCAGUUUCAGGCCAGUUGUUUACUAAGUACCUGUCGUCUUUACCAGGAUUCUUCACAGUGAGUUUUAAUGCUCUUUAAGAUAUCCAUUUCCAUAACCUUGGCAUCUAGGCUAACAUAAGCUAUGCACUUUCCUGUGAGGAAUGAAAACUAAUUCUUUCUGCAUCCUAGUCCCAAUGAGGAAUCCUGGUUGAAAAGGGGUUACGAACUACUUAUCUCCACCUAUAACUGUGGACAGCGAUUUACCCCAGUAACAGGAAGUUCUUAGCAGCAGAGAGGAGGGGGGCUUUGCUUCUGAUCUUGAACUGUACAACAGUUGGAUCACUUUGCUUCGGUGACUCCCUGGUUGCUUUGCACUACAACUUGUAUCUGCAAAACUUUCCCCUCCCAUUUCUGUUUUCACUUUGCUACAGACUUAGAAUGAGAGCUUGGCUGACUUAUUCCAGAUAUUAGGAAGCUAGAGUUACAGCUCAAAGGUAGAAUACUUCCUUUGCAAAAGGCUUGAUGAGGCUGGAGAGAUGGCUCAGCGGUUAAGAGCACUGACUGCUCUUCCAGAGGUCCUGAGUUCAAUUCCCAGCAACCACAUGGUGGCUCACAACCAUCUGUAACAGGAUCCGAUGCCCUCUUCUGGUGUGUCUGAAGACAGUUACAGUGUACUUACAUAAAAUAAAAAAUUUUUUUUAAAAAAGAAAAACUUGUUUUUAAAAUUUGUGUGUGUGUGUGCACACGCGCAACAGUGCAUAUAUGGGGAUCUGGACAACUUGGAGGAGUCGGUUCUCUCCUUCCACCAUGUGACGUGGGACUCGGGGUUUGAGCUACGAUCAUCAGGCUUGGCAGCAGGUGCCUUUAUCCACAGAGCCAUCUAGUUUUUGUUUUAAUAAAGUGUUGAAGUAUUUGGCUGCAGUGAGAUGUUAGUGAAGCUGGUCUCUGGAUUUGCUAAGACGGCAAAAGGGGUAUUUAGGAGUUACUACAUGGCCUGUCACAGCAUUACUUGAGAGUUACAGGGUUGAGUCCCAGGUCCUGGCUUUUCUUGUGAAAUUCUAAGCCUGCUUCUUGUAUGAAACUGGCACUCUACCUCAGAAGUCAUAUAAGUUGUAUAAGAUAACUGGACACAAACUCCUAGCCCAAGGCACUGCCACACUAAGGCUUUGUAGAUCAACCCAAAUAAUACAUUGUAAAUGUGUAGACAGACUUCUACUAGCCAGUCGGGGCUUUGGCUGCAAUCAUGGCUGUUGCCUAAGACUGCUGAUCACCUAUGGAUCACUAGGAUGUUUUGAGUUCAGACAAGCAUUUAAAACACUCAAGUCACCAGGCGUGGUGGCGCACACCUUUAAUCCCAGCACUCGGGAGGCAGAGGCAGGCGGAUUUCUGAGUUCGAGGACAGCCUGGUCUACAAAGUGAGUUCCAGGACAGCCAGGGCUACACAGAGAAACCCUGUCUCCAAACAAACAAAAAACAAGUCAGGGGCUCAAGAGAUGGCUCAUGAGCUAAGAGCAUUUAGCUAUUACAGAGGGUCUGGGUUUCGUUCCUUGUACCAACAUGGAAGUUCACACUUCCUGAAACUGCUCUGGGAGCUCUCACAGGCACCCCCUUCCAACCUGUGGAUUCCUGCACACAUAGGCAUAGACUUGCAGGCACAUACAUUUAAAGAUUAAAAGCACAUUCAAGUCUGGCCUGAGAUGCUGGGAUUCAUGAGGCCUAUUUUUUUGAAGUCCUAUAAAUGUCAUAUUAAAAUGACUUGUCGGGUUCAUUAACCUAAAACGACAUAAUUUAUGGUAAGAAAUUCAGGCCACUGAAUGACAAGCUCAAAUUUGAUCCACACCAUGACAAAAAUACUUCUUGUCUUUUUUUUUUGUUUGUUUGUUUUUGACUCCUCCCUUUGUAGCAACUGCAUUUCUUUAGUUUCUCCUAGAAGACAGGAAAUCCUGACUCUUGAAAAAAAUUACAAUUCUAAAAUUUUGUAUGUGGCAGAGGUAUGUACUAUAGUGUGCCUGGGGAGGUCAGAGGAAAACUUGUUAGAGUCUAUUUUCUGCCUCCACCAUGUGGGUCUUAAGGAGCAGACUAAGAUCAUCAGAAUUGGUAGCAAUUGCCCUUACCCGCUGAACCCACUACCACCACCACCACUGCUGGCUCUUUAAUUCUAUUCUCUCCCCCAAAUAAAUUAAUGAGAUGUUUAUUUGAGCAUUUCCCAAGUAUUUACUCAGUGCUAGACAAAAGAAAAAAAAAUCCAAACAUGAUUCAUGCUAUUUGGAUAAACAGAAGGGGGAAGGCAGAGAACUAACAUUUAAGUAGAUAUGCUGUGAUUAGCAGCGCUUUUGAAUACCAGUAGAACCAUAUAUUUUUUACUGUAUAAAGGAAUAAAAGAAUUAAUGGCAGUCGACAACUUAAGAGAGGAGAAGUAGGUGGGAUAAGGAGCUGGUAAAAAGCAAGGACUGAAAAUUGUGGGGAAAAAAGUAACAGGGAGGGAGAAGUCAAGAAGCUGAAAGAACUUGACAGUGUUAGCUUGGAGAGAUGGGGAGGGGCUGUGACAGCCGAGGACCUGAGGACCUGAAGACCACGAGCACGUGUCGUGAAGAUCUUGGGUGGGAAAAUGACAUCAGGUAUCUGAUGUGAAUUACUGGGUAAUAUUAGGCAAAUAGUGUUAACCUCUCUGGAUCUGAGCAUCAGAUCAAAGACCCGAAGGUGAGAAGGACAGGAGACUAACAAGAUUUAAACUUUGCAAAGCAUUUCAGUGACUUCAUGAAACCAAUGCAAUGGGUGGUAACACAGCAAGAUAACCUUGGGUUCAAAGCCAUUCCGCGAAAUUUUAGCCAGAUUCUGUC
RNAcentral lists this long non-coding RNA (3810 nucleotides) under Mus musculus (house mouse). Its description in RNAcentral is "long non-coding RNA chr5:115336606-115340416". Lineage: Eukaryota; Metazoa; Chordata; Mammalia; Rodentia; Muridae. The record is from RNAcentral.